RNAcentral lists this ribosomal RNA (251 nucleotides) under uncultured bacterium. Its description in RNAcentral is "partial 16S ribosomal RNA". It matches the Rfam family "Bacterial small subunit ribosomal RNA", at positions 57 to 305 of the family's 1533-position model. The record is from RNAcentral.
GCAAGUCGAGGGGUGACGGGGAAGCUUGCUUUUGCCGACGACCGGAGCACGGGUGCGGAACGCGUAUGGAACCUACCUUUGUCAGGGGAAUAGCCCAGAGAAAUUUGGAUUAAUGCCCCAUGGUACCGUAAGGACACAUGUCUUUACGGUUAAAGAUUCAUCGGACAAAGAUGGCCAUGCGUAUCAUUAGUUAGUUGGUAAGGUAACGGCUUACCAAGACCGCGAUGAUUAGGGGCCCUGAGAGGGGGAUC